Molecule: ribosomal RNA, 491 nt
Filed under: uncultured Symbiodinium
Lineage: Eukaryota; Dinophyceae; Suessiales; Symbiodiniaceae
Description: partial Bacterial large subunit ribosomal RNA
Rfam family: Bacterial large subunit ribosomal RNA
Source: RNAcentral
UCUUAAGAGCAUUUGGUGGAUGCCUCGGUGUCGAGAGGCGAAGAAGGACGUGGCACUCUGCGAUAAGCCGCGGGGAGAUGAGAGCAAUCUUUGAUCCGCGGAUUUCCGAAUGGGGAAACCCGGCCCUUUAGGGUCAUCGUACGGUGAAUCCAUAGCCGUGCGAGGCGAACCCGGGGAACUGAAACAUCUCAGUACCCGGAGGAAAGGACAUCAACCGAGACUCCGCUAGUAGUGGCGAGCGAACGCGGACCAGGCCAGUGGCCAGAGAGUAAGAACCGGAAGCGUCUGGAAAGGCGCGCCUUAGUGGGUGAUAGCCCCGUACGGGUAGAAAGCUCUUUGGUCCUCGAGUAGGGCGGGACACGUGAAAUCCUGUCUGAACAUGGGGGGACCACCCUCCAAGGCUAAGUACUCCUCGACAACCGAUAGUGAACGAGUACCGUGAGGGAAAGGUGAAAAGCACCCCGACGAGGGGAGUGAAAGAGACCCUGAAA